This 688-nucleotide long non-coding RNA is filed under the name Sorghum bicolor (sorghum). RNAcentral describes it as "long non-coding RNA (SBIC_LNC010984)". The record is from RNAcentral. Lineage: Eukaryota; Viridiplantae; Streptophyta; Magnoliopsida; Poales; Poaceae.
GCGGCUAGGCUAUAUAUCAGAUAUUCAGAUGCUCUGCCAAUUUGGUGCUUUGAGUUGGAGAGAUGCAGCUGGCGUUAGGCUGGCUUAGGGUAUUUCCAACCCAGAAACCAUACGGUAUCUUAUCUUACUAUUACUAACUAGUAUAAUAUCCGUGCUAAUACUACGGUUUUAAGGUAUUUUUACACAAUAUGUAAUAACAAAAUGUUUACCAUUGGGCAUAGAUAGUGCACCGCCUAUUGUGGUUGUGGUGCCAAUGGCAACAUGGGUAUGAUCCCCUAGUGCGUCGGGUGGGAUAUUUUUUUUGUCUAAUAUAAUUGGCAUGAGAAGAUUAAAAUUAAAGUAUUUUUACACAAUAUAAUAACAAAAUAUUUACCGUUGGGCAUAGAUAGUGCAGCGCCUGGCCGUGAUGCCAAUGACAACAUGGCUAUGAUUCCCGAGUGCAUCGAGUUGAAUAUUUUUCCUGUCUAAUAUAAUUGGCAUGAUUUGGUCUAUCCCAGAGUAAUUAAUACCUGCAUAAUUUUUGUGAGUCGUACAAUAGUUUGUUUCACUCUAGUAGAGAGAGAAAUUAAAAUAAAACUAUCGAAGAGAUUAAUUACCCAUGGCUGAUGUUGUGGGCAAUGAUUCAGUCAAGGCAUAGGAAUUACUACUAUUUUAGGAUGUAGCCUUCUUUCGUGCUCGGUAGUUACGC